GUUGAUCUAAGUAGGAGAAGUCAAGAUCAGGCUCGAAUAACCAUGGCUGGCCGGAGCAAGGUCGGAGACAACUAUAGAACUGGAAUCGAACAAAGUCUGGCCCAACUUCUUCAAGGUCAGGCCUUGGAACCAUAGUAGCCAAGCAUGUAGGAGUCAUAUGAAUUCAGUAUAUACUUCAAUAGCCUUGGAAGCCAUGGAUACCGGUGGUUUUAUGGUGGAAGUGGAGGGAGACGGCUAGGGUUUCUGAGAGAGAUUGCGAGAGAAUUGAGGGAAGGGGGUAAUUCAAG
This 287-nucleotide long non-coding RNA is filed under the name Nicotiana benthamiana. RNAcentral describes it as "long non-coding RNA (NBEN_LNC017204)". Lineage: Eukaryota; Viridiplantae; Streptophyta; Magnoliopsida; Solanales; Solanaceae. The record is from RNAcentral.